CAGUCGCCACGGUAAUACGUAGGGGGCAAGCGUUAUCCGGAAUUAUUGGGCGUAAAGAGUGCGUAGGUGGUCUACUAAGCGCGAGGUGAAAGGCAAUGGCUCAACCAUUGUUAGCCUUGCGAACUGGCAGACUUGAGUGCAAGAGAGGAAAGCGGAAUUCCUAGUGUAGCGGUGAAAUGCGCAGAUAUUAGGAGGAACACCGGCGGCGAAGGCGGCUUUCUGGAUUGUAACUGACACUGAGGCACGAAAGCGUGGGUAGCAAACAGGAUUAGAUACCCCAGUAGUCCCUGUCUCUUAUACA
Molecule: ribosomal RNA, 301 nt
Filed under: uncultured bacterium
Lineage: Bacteria
Description: partial 16S ribosomal RNA
Rfam family: Bacterial small subunit ribosomal RNA
Source: RNAcentral